RNAcentral lists this ribosomal RNA (713 nucleotides) under Bacillus licheniformis. RNAcentral's name for it is "bacterial SSU rRNA". It matches the Rfam family "Bacterial small subunit ribosomal RNA", at positions 333 to 1036 of the family's 1533-position model. Lineage: Bacteria; Bacillati; Bacillota; Bacilli; Caryophanales; Bacillaceae. The record is from RNAcentral.
AGACUCGUGCGGGAGCCAGCAGUAGGGAUUCUUCCGCAAUGGACGAAAGUCUGACGGAGCAACGCCGCGUGAGUGAUGAAGGUUUUCGGAUCGUAAAACUCUGUUGUUAGGGAAGAACAAGUACCGUUCGAAUAGGGCGGCACCUUGACGGUACCUAACCAGAAAGCCACGGCUAACUACGUGCCAGCAGCCGCGGUAAUACGUAGGUGGCAAGCGUUGUCCGGAAUUAUUGGGCGUAAAGCGCGCGCAGGCGGUUUCUUAAGUCUGAUGUGAAAGCCCCCGGCUCAACCGGGGAGGGUCAUUGGAAACUGGGGAACUUGAGUGCAGAAGAGGAGAGUGGAAUUCCACGUGUAGCGGUGAAAUGCGUAGAGAUGUGGAGGAACACCAGUGGCGAAGGCGACUCUCUGGUCUGUAACUGACGCUGAGGCGCGAAAGCGUGGGGAGCGAACAGGAUUAGAUACCCUGGUAGUCCACGCCGUAAACGAUGAGUGCUAAGUGUUAGAGGGUUUCCGCCCUUUAGUGCUGCAGCAAACGCAUUAAGCACUCCGCCUGGGGAGUACGGUCGCAAGACUGAAACUCAAAGGAAUUGACGGGGGCCCGCACAAGCGGUGGAGCAUGUGGUUUAAUUCGAAGCAACGCGAAGAACCUUACCAGGUCUUGACAUCCUCUGACAACCCUAGAGAUAGGGCUUCCCCUUCGGGGGCAGAGUGACA